UUCUUUCUGGUGUUAAAAUGUAGUGUGUUCUGGUUCUCUCUUAAAAGAAAACAAGAACCAGGAUACAUGCUGUAGUGUUGAACCAUGCUGUGUUGCUUGCCAGGCAGCAUUAACUAAGGGCGCAUAGGGAGCAAGCAAGCGCGGUCUAUCGCCUGCACUUGGGCUGGCUUGUGGAGGAAGCAACUCACUUUUAAGUCCUACAUUCCUUCACCCGUUUGUUGCUUUCCUGUUUUUCAUUCUUGAAUUUGUUGCUUUGUGGGAACUAAGACGUAGGGAUCAUUUGAGAAGUUUGAGUCUCUUUUCUGACUGGUUGCCACAUGAUUUGCUUGAUCUUGACCAGUGGAAAUAGCGGAGGGACCAGUCUACUAACCACUGGGAGGGGUGGUAUGCAGCUCCUUUAUUCUAUGGUCCUGGCCUCCUUCAUCAGAACUUAGCUCCAUGUCUUAUCCCAUGACCUGGACCCUGGGAUUCUCUCUUGGCAUCUUCGGUGCAGUCUCAUUGAGGCAGAGGGUAAAGAAACAGACCAAGACCAGAGGGGCUCACUGUCUUCCUGGCUAGGGAAGCUGGCCACCAACAUGGAAGCAGCUCGAGGCUGUCUGGACACUGGUCAGAGGCCUAUCUAUUCUGGGUGGAGCUUUCAUCACAGAACAAUGCUUUGUCUCCAUCUGGCCACAGAUGCUAACUAAGCCUC
This 691-nucleotide long non-coding RNA is filed under the name Bos taurus (domestic cattle). Its description in RNAcentral is "long non-coding RNA NONBTAT018937". The record is from RNAcentral. Lineage: Eukaryota; Metazoa; Chordata; Mammalia; Artiodactyla; Bovidae.